GACUUUUGGUGGAGGAACCAGACUGGAUGUUGGAAGUUAUGUCCAUCCAACCCUGACGGUGCUGCCCCCCUCCAGUGAGGAGCUGCAGCAGGGGAAGGCCACGCUCAUGUGUCUGGCCAACAAGGGCUUCCCCUCAGACUGGAGUCUGGCCUGGAAGGUGGAUGGCUGCAUCAGCAGCAUCAACUGGGAAGAGAGCAGGAGCCCUGGGGUGCUGGAGAAGGACGGCCUCUACAGCUGGAGCAGCACCCUGAGGCUCCCUGCGGACCAGUGGAGGAAGGUGGGCUCUGUGACCUGUGAGGCCACCCAGGGCUCCCAGACUCCACUCUCAAAGACACUGAGGAGAGACCAGUGUUCCCAGUCCUGACCUGACUCACUGGGACUCUGCUGCUGGUUUUACUCUGCUACUGCUCUCAGUCUGCAAUCUGGAACUAUCUGUUUGAUUUGUCUUAGAUUUGACAUCUUUCAAUAGCCAUAUUUACCAGCUUGUGGCAAUAUUUCAAUGUUAUUUCACUAUUUCCACAUAAUAAAGACAUGUUUAUCAAAUCAGUUGUUUUCAUCUUUAUU
Molecule: non-coding RNA, 564 nt
Organism: Epinephelus fuscoguttatus (brown-marbled grouper)
Lineage: Eukaryota; Metazoa; Chordata; Actinopteri; Perciformes; Serranidae
Source: the annotation of a RefSeq genome assembly